GCUUGUCUCAAAGAUUAAGCCAUGCAUGUCUAAGUAUAAGCAAUUAUNCAGCGAAACUGCGAAUGGCUCAUUAUAUAAGUUAUCGUUUAUUUGAUAGUACCUUACUACUUGGAUAACCGUGGUAAUUCUAGAGCUAAUACAUGCUAAAAAUCCCGACUUCGGAAGGGAUGUAUUUAUUAGAUUAAAAACCAAUGCCCUCUGGGCUCCUUGGUGAUUCAUAAUAACUUUUCGAAUCGCAUGGCCUUGCGCCGGCGAUGGUUCAUUCAAAUUUCUUCCCUAUCAACUUUCGAUGUUUGGGUAUUGGCCAAACAUGGUCGCAACGGGUAACGGAGGGUUAGGGCUCGACCCCGGAGAAGGAGCCUGAGAAACGGCUACUACAUCCAAGGAAGGCAGCAGGCGCGCAAAUUACCCAAUCCCGAUUCGGGGAGGUAGUGACAAUAAAUACUGAUACAGGGCUCUUUUGGGUCUUGUAAUUGGAAUGAGUACAAUUUAAAUCCCUUAACGAGGAACAAUUGGAGGGCAAGUCUGGUGCCAGCAGCCGCGGUAAUUCCAGCUCCAAUAGCGUAUAUUAAAGUUGUUGUGGUUAAAANGCUCGUAGUUGAACCUUGGGCCUGGCUGGCCGGUCCGCCUCACCGCGUGUACUGGUCCGGCCGGGCCUUUCCCUCUGUGGAACCUCAUGCCCUUCACUGGGUGUGGCGGGGAAACAGGACUUUUACUUUGAAAAAAUUAGAGUGCUCCAGGCAGGCCUAUGCUCGAAUACAUUAGCAUGGAAUAAUGAAAUAGGACGUGUGGUUCUAUUUUGUUGGUUUCUAGGACCGCCGUAAUGAUUAAUAGGGACAGUCGGGGGCAUCAGUAUUCAAUUGUCAGAGGUGAAAUUCUUGGAUUUAUUGAAGACUAACUACUGCGAAAGCAUUUGCCAAGGAUGUUUUCAUUAAUCAAGAACGAAAGUUAGGGGAUCGAAGACGAUCAGAUACCGUCGUAGUCUUAACCAUAAACUAUGCCGACUAGGGAUCGGACGAUGUUAUUUUUUGACGCGUUCGGCACCUUAC
RNAcentral lists this ribosomal RNA (1049 nucleotides) under Cordyceps farinosa. RNAcentral describes it as "SSU rRNA". It matches the Rfam family "Eukaryotic small subunit ribosomal RNA", at positions 30 to 1091 of the family's 1831-position model. The record is from RNAcentral. Lineage: Eukaryota; Fungi; Ascomycota; Sordariomycetes; Hypocreales; Cordycipitaceae.